AAACGACUCUCGGCAACGGAUAUCUCGGCUCUCGCAUCGAUGAAGAACGUAGCGAAAUGCGAUACUUGGUGUGAAUUGCAGAAUCCCGUGAACCAUCGAGUCUUUGAACGCAAGUUGCGCCCCAAGCCGUCAGGCCGAGGGCACGUCUGCCUGGGUGUCACGC
Molecule: ribosomal RNA, 163 nt
Filed under: Abelmoschus manihot (aibika)
Lineage: Eukaryota; Viridiplantae; Streptophyta; Magnoliopsida; Malvales; Malvaceae
Also listed under: 4 other names
Description: 5.8S ribosomal RNA
Rfam family: 5.8S ribosomal RNA
About the family: 5.8S ribosomal RNA (5.8S rRNA) is a component of the large subunit of the eukaryotic ribosome. It is transcribed by RNA polymerase I as part of the 45S precursor that also contains 18S and 28S rRNA. Functionally, it is thought that 5.8S rRNA may be involved in ribosome translocation.
Source: RNAcentral